Molecule: small RNA, 128 nt
Filed under: Salmonella bongori
Lineage: Bacteria; Pseudomonadati; Pseudomonadota; Gammaproteobacteria; Enterobacterales; Enterobacteriaceae
Description: istR Hfq binding RNA
Rfam family: istR Hfq binding RNA
Source: RNAcentral
UCAAAAUUCGCGCCGAAAUUGCGCGUUCUGUACAGAACGCGUAUACUUCUGCUGUUGACAUAACACAGUGUGUUUCGCGGCUACCACCCGCAUCACACCGUAAAAACCUCGCUUCGGCGGGGUUUUUU